UUCGCCGGGAAACAGGAUUGGACAAAAAGUCGCGAGGGUCCCGCCCCGCACUUACCGGGGAACGGGAUUGGACGGACAGCUGCAAGGCUCCCGCCCCGUGCCUGAGGUCUGGGUCGGGCCGGGCCUGAGCGGAAGUGGGAUCCGACCCUGCCUCUAGUGGGCGUAUUGGGUCCCGGCUCUAUUUUGGACUGCUGGCCUGGGAAAGGCUCCUCGAGUGCCAAAUGAGCGGUCCUAACUCUGCGGGGCUGCAGCUUCCUGCAUGAUGCUGGGGAACUUGGCGGCUGACCCAGGAUAUAGAAGGCACUCUGAGCAGGCCGCGCUCCGCCCACGAAGGUACCCAACCCUCUGGGAUAGAUGCAGGAACCGAUGGCUAGGACCCAUUUUCUCCCAACUUCUCGCCCCAGCUCUGGCUUACCACACGCUCCUCCCCAUUCCCAGUGAGCCGCUUUUUGCAGCACCAGGCAAACACUUACACAAGUUCUUUGUAAAGGAAUCUUAUUGUCCACCCCGUGUCUUGGCAAAAGAACAGUGAUCACACGGAUUCCUACUUGGGUUCUUUCCUUUCAUCUUCGGAGGCAGAGUUUGCCCAACUCAGAUAAACUGCCAAGGAGAAGAGUGAGAAGACAGGAGACAAACUGUUUGGAAAGCUAAAUCUUCCCUCUUAAUGAGUAAAGGUUUUUGCCUUGUC
Cercocebus atys (sooty mangabey) is the source of this 688-nucleotide long non-coding RNA. RefSeq lists it as uncharacterized. The record is from RefSeq and is a predicted model, not a curated record. Lineage: Eukaryota; Metazoa; Chordata; Mammalia; Primates; Cercopithecidae. The transcript has 2 exons.